This 462-nucleotide ribosomal RNA is filed under the name uncultured bacterium. Its description in RNAcentral is "bacterial SSU rRNA". It matches the Rfam family "Bacterial small subunit ribosomal RNA", at positions 355 to 825 of the family's 1533-position model. The record is from RNAcentral.
UGGGGAAUAUUGCGCAAUGGACGAAAGUCUGACGCAGCGACGCCGCGUGGGGGAUGAAGGUCUUCGGAUUGUAAACCCCUUUCGGGAGGGAAGAUGGAGUGGGUAACCACUUGGACGGUACCUCCAGAAGCAGCCACGGCUAACUUCGUGCCAGCAGCCGCGGUAAUACGAAGGUGGCAAGCGUUGUUCGGAUUCACUGGGCGUACAGGGAGCGUAGGCGGUUGGGUAAGCCCUCCGUGAAAUCUCCGGGCCUAACCCGGAAAGUGCAGAGGGGACUGCUCAGCUAGAGGAUGGGAGAGGAGCGCGGAAUUCCCGGUGUAGCGGUGAAAUGCGUAGAGAUCGGGAGGAAGGCCGGUGGCGAAGGCGGCGCUCUGGAACAUUUCUGACGCUGAGGAGCGAAAGCUAGGGGAGCAAACAGGAUUAGAUACCCCUGUAGUCCCUGAGCGGGCUGGCAAGGCGCAU